UAGUAACGGCGAGUGAAGCGGCAACAGCUCAAAUUUGAAAUCUGGCCCCUUCGGGGUCCGAAUUGUAAUUUGUAGAGAGUGCUUCGGGCGAGACCGCGGUCUAAGUCCAUUGGAACAUGGUGUCAUAGAGGGUGAGAAUCCCGUAUGCGACCGUGGCUCGAGCCCAUGUGAAGCCUCUUCGACGAGUCGAGUUGUUUGGGAAUGCAGCUCAAAAUGGGUGGUAAAUUUCAUCUAAAGCUAAAUACUGGCUGGAGACCGAUAGCGCACAAGUAGAGUGAUCGAAAGAUGAAAAGCACUUUGGAAAGAGAGUCAAACAGUACGUGAAAUUGUUGAAAGGGAAGCGCUUGCAACCAGACCUGCCCGUAGGCGAUCAGCCGCUGUUCUCAGCGGUGUACUCGCUCUGCGAUCAGGCCAGCAUCGGUUUCGGCGGUCGGAUAAAGGCCUUGGGAAUGUAGCUUCCCUUCGGGGGAGUCUUAUAGCCCUCGGUGCAAUGCGGCCAGCCGGGACCGAGGACCGCGCUUCGGCUAGGAUGCUGGCGUAAUGGUUGUAAGCGACCCGUCUUGAAACACGGACCAAGGAGUCUAACAUCUAUGCGAGUGUUUGGGUGUCAAACCCAUACGCGGAAUGAAAGUGAACGGAGGUGAGAACCCUUAAAGGGCGCAUCAUCGACCGAUCCAGAUGUCUUCGGAUGGAUUUGAGUAUGAGCAUAGCUGUUGGGACCCGAAAGAUGGUGAACUAUGCCUGAAUAGGGUGAAGCCAGAGGAAACUCUGGUGGAGGCUCGCAGCGGUUCUGACGUGCAAAUCGAUCGUCAAA
RNAcentral lists this ribosomal RNA (814 nucleotides) under Xanthoparmelia tuckeriana. RNAcentral's name for it is "partial large subunit ribosomal RNA". It matches the Rfam family "Eukaryotic large subunit ribosomal RNA", at positions 81 to 909 of the family's 3401-position model. The record is from RNAcentral. Lineage: Eukaryota; Fungi; Ascomycota; Lecanoromycetes; Lecanorales; Parmeliaceae.